This 488-nucleotide ribosomal RNA is filed under the name uncultured bacterium. RNAcentral describes it as "bacterial SSU rRNA". It matches the Rfam family "Bacterial small subunit ribosomal RNA", at positions 30 to 507 of the family's 1533-position model. The record is from RNAcentral.
AUUGAACGCUAGCGGCAUGCCUAACACAUGCAAGUCGAACGGCAGCGCGGGGAGCUUGCUCCCUGGCGGCGAGUGGCGGACGGGUGAGUAACGCGUAGGAAUCUGCCUUGUAGUGGGGGACAACCCGGGGAAACUCGGGCUAAUACCGCAUAAUCUCUACGGAGCAAAGUGGGGGAUCUUCGGACCUCACGCUAUAAGAUGAGCCUGCGUCGGAUUAGCUUGUUGGUGGGGUAACGGCCUACCAAGGCAACGAUCCGUAGCUGGUCUGAGAGGACGAUCAGCCACACUGGGACUGAGACACGGCCCAGACUCCUACGGGAGGCAGCAGUGGGGAAUAUUGGACAAUGGGGGCAACCCUGAUCCAGCAAUGCCGCGUGUGUGAAGAAGGCCUUCGGGUUGUAAAGCACUUUCAGUAGGGAAGAAAGGCUUAAGGUUAAUACCCUUGAGAGUUGACAUUACCUACAGAAGAAGCACUGGCUAACUCUGUG